RNAcentral lists this unclassified non-coding RNA (38 nucleotides) under Mus musculus (house mouse). RNAcentral's name for it is "oocyte_clustered_small_RNA9857". Lineage: Eukaryota; Metazoa; Chordata; Mammalia; Rodentia; Muridae. The record is from RNAcentral.
UCUGCUUCAAUAUGUUGCUCCUUGCUGCAACCACGGAA